Molecule: ribosomal RNA, 459 nt
Filed under: uncultured bacterium
Lineage: Bacteria
Description: partial 16S ribosomal RNA
Rfam family: Bacterial small subunit ribosomal RNA
Source: RNAcentral
CCUACGGGUGGCAGCAGUGAGGAAUAUUGGUCAAUGGGCGAGAGUCUGAACCAGCCAAGUCGCGUGAAGGAUGACUGCCCUAUGGGUUGUAAACUUCUUUUAUAAAGGAAUAAAACGAGUCACGUGUGCCUUUUUGCAUGUACUUUAUGAAUAAGGAUCGGCUAACUCCGUGCCAGCAGCCGCGGUAAUACGGAGGAUCCGAGCGUUAUCCGGGGUUAUUGGGUUUAAAGGGAUUGUGGGCGGGCUUUUAAGUCAGCGUUAAAAAUGCGGGGCUCAAACCCGUCCGGCCGUGGAAAAUGGGGGCCUUGAGUGGGCGAGAGGAAGGCGGAAUGCGUGGUGUAGCGGUGAAAUGCAUAGAUAUCACGCAGAACCCCGAUUGCGAAGGCAGCCUUCCGGCGCCUUACUGACGCUGAGGCACGAAAGUGCGGGGAUCGAACAGGAUUAGAUACCCGAGUAGUC